CAUGCCUGGCGUUCGAUUUUAUCGGGCAACUCGGAAAAUUUUUCCUUCAACUGGUAUCAGAGCCAGGUUGGCCGAUGGAAUUGGCCUAUAACAUCUAGAAUUAUGCAUGAUUUAAUUUUCAAAUUUAGAUUAGAUCUAGAUUUAUUGAUAAAAUAUCAAUCUUGUGCUGAAUUAUAAGGUUGUCCUGCUAUAAGGUUAAUCCCUUAUAGCGAAAAGGUUGUCCUAGCACAAAAUUGAGAUUAAUUUGUAUCAUAAAAUAAAUAGUUUAUUUUUGUGAAAUUAUGCAUAAUUGAUGUUUAUGAAAUUUUAGUUUUAAAUUUAUUAUGACCACAAAGUUUAAAUAUAAAUUGUUUAUAUUUGGAAUAAAUUGACACCUUGAAUCCAUGAUCAUAAUGCAUUUAAUAAAGAAUUAAAUGUUGAAUUU
RNAcentral lists this long non-coding RNA (424 nucleotides) under Phoenix dactylifera (date palm). RNAcentral's name for it is "long non-coding RNA (PDAC_LNC011160)". Lineage: Eukaryota; Viridiplantae; Streptophyta; Magnoliopsida; Arecales; Arecaceae. The record is from RNAcentral.